AGUGAACGCUGGCGGUAGGCCUAACACAUGCAAGUCGAACGGCAGCACAGUAAGAGCUUGCUCUUACGGGUGGCGAGUGGCGGACGGGUGAGGAAUACAUCGGAAUCUACUUUUUCGUGGGGGAUAACGUAGGGAAACUUACGCUAAUACCGCAUACGACCUACGGGUGAAAGUAGGGGAUCUUCGGACCUUGCGCGAUUGAAUGAGCCGAUGUCGGAUUAGCUAGUUGGCGGGGUAAAGGCCCACCAAGGCGACGAUCCGUAGCUGGUCUGAGAGGAUGAUCAGCCACACUGGAACUGAGACACGGUCCAGACUCCUACGGGAGGCAGCAGUGGGGAAUAUUGGACAACGGGCGCAAGCCUGAUCCAGCCAUACCGCGUGGGUGAAGAAGGCCUUCGGGUUGUAAAGCCCUUUUGUUGGGAAAGAAAAGCAGCAGGUUAAUACCCCGCUGUUCUGACGGUACCCAAAGAAUAAGCACCGGCUAACUUCGUG
RNAcentral lists this ribosomal RNA (492 nucleotides) under uncultured bacterium. RNAcentral describes it as "partial 16S ribosomal RNA". It matches the Rfam family "Bacterial small subunit ribosomal RNA", at positions 29 to 507 of the family's 1533-position model. The record is from RNAcentral.